CCGUCAGAAAAUAACUUGUGCCAUGUUUUUCUAGAGAUUGAUCUCUUGGCAUAUGGGAAAAAUAAAACUGCACAGACUGAGAGAAGCAAAGAAGGCGGAAGGAAAGGAAGGAGGAGAAAAUCCAAAGUAAAUGGAUUUAAAUCCAAAUUUAAAAUUUAAAAUAUAAUUUAAAAGGAAUAAAAUAAAAACAGCAGUCUCACAUUACAUUAGCCACAAGUCCACUCACCUUUUCUGGUGGGCUGCAUUGCAGCCAGGCAGCCAGGACUCUGCAGUGAUCUGGCGGGGGCCGGAGAAUUGACACCCCCUUCCAUGUUGUCCUGGCCGCAUUGCUGGUGUUGGGCGAUGGCCCUCCUCUCUUGCCCUGUCGCCAGAUCUGGUUGGAUCUCCUGUGUUAUUCUGUAGGCUGUGUUCACUCAGAUAACCAAUAAAGUAACCAAUAAAGUUGUGGCCUAUUUGCACCCAUAAACCAAAAUGCUUGUGCCCUUGUGUUUAUUAUCCAUUAGGGAACUGUGGAUUAUGGGGCAUUGGCAUGCAAUCCAUCGGUACCCUGUAGCUUUUAACGAAAUAUUCUUCCUUGAUUCUCUUUUUUUUCAAACCAGCUUCCAUGUGAUUCAGAAAUGGAAACCACAGUUCCGUUGUGGUGUGAACAGUUCAGACAGCUUUUGCCCACAGGUGGAUGAAAACAUCGAUGAAUUGGAUUUCAGCAGAGGUACAGACAGGUGCUGUUAUCCUCGCCUCUGUUCUGGUGUGGAAAAGUGCCUUGGAAAUGGGGGGGGGGGGAAUGUUGAAGCAUUGCAAGCUGCUAAUGUGAACAUACCCUAAGUCAAUCUCAAUUUAAGCCUGUGUUAAUAGGUGAACUUUCAAAAGGAGAGGUGGGUUGUUUUUAGUUAAUGUUGCCUGUGUUAUUCCUCAGUGCAUUUAAUGGAGGUGAAGGGUCAGUUUUGUUAACACAAAAGGCCAGGGAUUUGCUCCCAUUUUCCAAUUUCAUAGUUACAAUGCCGAUUGAUGUAAGGUAAUAAAUCCCCUAGAAUCUUUUGACAUUUGCUACAUUAUACAGUACUUAAUCCUCCUUCAGGCUCCCUUACUAUUUUCCCCAGAAGCUAUUUUCCUGCUAGUGCAGUCCAAGACUUGAACAGUCAGCUCAACCACCCAGGUGUUACAACUCGAUAAUGGAUGGGUGAUGUGCUAUAAUAAAUAAACAAACACUUCAGAAUUCUAUUUCCUUUACAGUUAAGGCCAAGACAUCUAUAUAAAGACCUUUGGAUCCAGCAGAUUGGUUCACAAAUGUAAGUAUCACAAUUACCCAAUAACUUGUGCAAUAGGCAGAAGGUUGUAAUGUGGUGCAAAUAUUUCAAAACACAUCCUAGCUACUGCCGGGGGGGGGGGUCUGAAAGCAAUACCCUUUCCCAUGAUCUUUCAUCUAUCAAGGUAUGGAAUCUGCCCAUAACAAGAAUAGCAAAUGGCCCAGCACAGAGUACACCAGGACCCAUGUGAGACAGAAAAUUGAAAUGGAAUCCAAUACAACCUCAGAUUGGGUGAUGGAAGAUUUGCAGUGGCAGCCAGGAAGGUGAUUCUUCAAAUGAGUCAAGUUACACAUGCAUGUGAAACCUUUCAUGCAUUGAACAAUCUUGAAAUUAGCAGAGGAUUUUUUUUUCAUCCCUAAGAACAUAAGAACAUACCGCACAAUUGCACUCAUUUCACACACUAGCAAGGUUAUGCUUAAAAUUCUACAAGGCAGGCUUAAGCAGUAUGUGGACUGAGAACUCCCAGAAGUGCAAGCUGGAUUUCGAAGGGGCAGAGGAACCAGAGACCAAAUUGCAAACAUGUGCUGGAUUAUGGAGAAAGCUAGAGAGUUCCAGAAAGACAUCUAAUUCUGCUUCAUUGACUAUGCAAAAGCCUUUGACUGUGUCGACCAGAGCAAACUAUGGCAAGUUCUUAAAGAAAUGGGAGUGCCUGAUCACCUCAUCUGUCUCCUGAGAAAUCUCUAUGUGGGACAAGAAGCUACAGUUAGAACUGGAUAUGGAACAACUGACUGGUUCAAAAUUGGGAAAGGAAUACAGCAAGGCUGUAUAUUGUCUCCCUGCUUAUUUAACUUAUAUGCAGAAUUCAUCAUGCGAAAGGCUGGGCUGGAUGAAUCCCAAGCCGGAAUUAAGAUCGCUGGAAGAAAUAUCAACAACCUCAGAUAUGCAGAUGACACAACCUUGAUGGCAGAAAGUGAGGAGGAAUUAAAGAACCUUUUAAUGAGGGUGAAAGAGGAGAGCGCAAAAUAUGGUCUGAAGCUCAACAUAAAAAAAACGAAGAUCAUGGCCACUGGGCCCAUCACCUCCUGGCAAAUAGAAGGGGAAGAAAUGGAGGCAGUGAGAGAUUUUACUUUCUUGGGCUCACUGCAGAUGGUGACAGCAGUCACGAAAUUAAAAGACGCCUGCUCCUUGGGAGAAAGGCGAUGGCAAACCUAGACAGCAUCUUAAAAAGCAGAGACAUCACCUUGCCAACAAAGGUCCGUAUAGUUAAAGCCAUGGUUUUCCCAGUAGUGAUGUAUGGAAGUGAGAGCUGGACCAUCAAGAAGGCUGAUCGCCGAAGAAUUGAUGCUUUUGAAUUAUGGUGCUGGAGGAGACUCUUGAGAGUCCCAUGGACUGCAAGAAGAUCAAAUGUAUCCAUUCUUAAGGAAAUCAGCCCUGAGUGCUCACUGGAAGGACAGAUCGUGAAGCUGAGGCUCCAAUACUUUGGCCACCUCAUGAGAAGAGAAGACUCCUGGAAAAGACCCUGAUGUUGGGAAAGAUGGAGGGCACAAGGAGAAGGAGACGACAGAGGACGAGAUGGUUGGACAGUGUUCUCGAAGCUACCAACAUGAGUCUGACCAAACUGCGGGAGGCAGUGGAAGACAGGAGUGCCUGGCGUGCUUUGGUCCAUGGGGUCACGAAGAAUCGGACACGACUAAACGACUAAACAAAAAGAACAUAAGAAGAGCCUGCUUGAUCAAGUCAAUGUCCCAUCUAGUCCAGCAUCCUAUUGUCAAAAAACAAAUGACAAUGGGAAGUGGGAAAGCAGGACCUGAGCCCAACAGCACUCUCUUCAUUUGUGAUACCCAGCAACUGGCACCAGUUGCUACCCGGAAAGUGUAUAAGAGGGCAGAACACUAAUAGACAUAACCAGAGAGGCUGAAGCUGAUGGAAAUGAGCUCACACAGAAAAUUCUCAAACUUGAUGGGGCACAGCUCAGACCCUCACGGGUACAUUGCCCUGAACCUGAGUAACCAAAUGUUUUAAUAGGACCUCACUGAUCCAGCACCACAGGUGGAAGCACACCAGGUGGGAGACUCUGGAAAAGAGGCCAAGUGUCCAUCUUCAAGGUAAAGUGAUGUUCAUUUAAGAAUCUUAAUUUAGCCACAAAUCCUGGUAUAGCUUGUCUGGGGUUCUAUCUGCUCUCAACAUUUGUUGGAGGAAGUUGCUCACCCAGGGCUAUAUGUGAUCCUGUAUUUAGCACAUUCCUAUGUUCUGUGACCUGAGUGUUGAUGAAAAUCCAAUACUGAGAGCAACAACAAAAGGGACUUCUAGGAAUUGAGAAGCCUGGUGAUCCCAUUUCCCCUGUACCUUAACAGAUCAGAAAUUCUCAUACAGAGCUAUUGUGAGAAUAAGUAAGAUAAUGAAAGGUUGAUACAGGUUCUGAACACUAUCCAAAUUGCUUGAUUACCUGGUUUAAAAGAACUGAAGUAUAAAUCCUGAGUCCACUGAUGGCAACACUGAUGGCUGAAUUCUGAAUAUCACUGGAGCUUGUUGGCCAAGCUUUGUGGUACUUUGAGUCUAGUGCGAGAAACAUUUGAAUGACAAGUGAACACUGGUCUGAAAUGGUGUAGCACAAUAGCUAAGAAGCUGAGGAGGUCCUUAUUUUUAAUUAAACCUCUCGCCAGGAUUGAAUUUACAAAAUUGGAUAAAGCAAGUUACUCUUGCUUACCCUCAGUUCCACAACUCCUGCAGCAUAGCUAAAAUGAUUGUGACCUACCCUAUGGGAUAGUUGUAAAGAUUGCAACAUAAACAAAUAUACAUGGAUUGCUGUGAACACUAAUCACAAAAUAUAAAUGUUUGAUGGAAUUCGCAUUUGUUUUAUUUUUCUUUACUGUAUUUUUGCCCGCCUUUGAUUUGAACUCUAAUCUCUGCAGUUCCUGUGGUUGAUCAAGCACACAGUCCUGUUUGUUCAAAAAUAGCUUGCUGGUUUGGUUGUUCUUGCAGAUUUUGUGCAGAUUAUUGCCUGUCACGUAAGUACUAAAUCAGCACUUUCCCAUCUUUUAUUGUUUUAACACAGCAGUUUAUGCUGAUUUUAUUAUUUCCCCCCCUCUUGGAUCAAUAUGAAUUCAUUCUUGGUGGAGAAAAUGAGUCAUGUCACAAGGUUUCUGCCAGCUAAUGACGUUGUCAAGCUCUGAACAAUGCCUCUCUUCAUACAUGGAGUGAGCCAUUGAAUAUACUUAAAUAGACUAUUUGAAGUACAGUGGUACCUCGGUUUAUGAACUUAAUCUGUUCUGGAAGUCCGUUCCUCAACCAAAACCGUUCUUAAACUGAGGUGCACUUUCCCUAAUGAGGCCUCCCGCCGCUGGUGCCCUUCCACUGUUCGGCUUCCGUUCUUAGACCGAGGUAAAGUUUGCAAACCAGGAGUUUGCACUUCCAGUUUUGUGGAGUUCGUAAACUGAGUCGUUUGUAAACAGGGCUGUUCUUAAACCGAGGUACCACUGUAUACCCAAGUGUGAACUGUACAGGCCUUAGUCUUAAUCAGAGGGGAGGUUGCAAGCCUUUGCCUGUCCCUCUAAGGAAACAAGGUAUCCCAUUAAAGGAAUCCUUUAAGAGAUGCUCCUGUUUGGACAUCCAGUUGGGGUCUGGGGCCAUAACUCUCCUUUUAGGCAAUAUCUGUGUGGAGUUCUUCUUUGAUGUAUGUCAUAGGUCUCCCUAACCAUUGAAUUUAACCCCUGGGAGAAUCAACCAGCAGAUGGGCUGGUUGAUACAAGUUAUGCCCAAUACCUAAUCCAAAGACACUUAUAUAUGUAAUCAGACACUGGGGCCUAAUUUGCACCAAAAGAAGCUCGUCAUGCGUGGUCAUAUAAUCCCUAUUGUGGGAACGCAAGUCAUGGCACCUGGGCACGCAAGGGAUAUUCCUAUUCUGUGAGCAGAACACUUCCCAUGCUGUGUUGGCUACAACCCUAUGCAUUUAAAUACAUAGUCUGAGAGAAAUUUUCUAAUGCAGAUUAAUGCAGAAAUGGAAUGUAAUCAAAUUAUGUGCAAAAUGUACCAAAAUAACAUGAAAUCAGAAUAGCAUCAUCCAGCCCUGUUUUGCUUUUUGUGGCUCCAAAUUUGCUCCUCUGCCUCUCCUACAUCUUUGGUAUCUCAGGAUAUCAGACUCCUUUUUUUGGAGGGGGGGGAUACUUACAUUUAAAAUAUUUCUUCUAGCAAUAACUGAACAAAUAAAACCCAUUUUAUUGGCUUAUUUUAAUGUUUUGCCUUUAUAAUUUUUCUAGAAUACCCUUUAUAGAAAGAGGCUAUCCAUGCAAAGACUCAAAGGUCAAAUAAGUCUCUGAUGUGUUCUUUUAUUGUACUUUCUGCCUUUAAUCAGGAGGUUAGAGAAUGCAUAAUUUAGCACAUUAUGAGCCAGUUUCUCAGCUGAUCUUCAGUAUUUUCCUUCAGAGGAACCACUGCAUUAUUUCUGAGCAGGUGGUCAAAUCUCUGAAAUCUGCCAUGCUUUGCCUUAGGUCUGCUAUGAUUGUUAGUUCUUAGCUAGAAAGAAAGAAAGAAAGAAAGAAAGAAAGAAAGAAAGAAAGAAGAGUUUUCUUGAGUCUGUUAUUUUACACUUUGUUGUAUUUUGUCUUAUUGAACAGCUGAUCAAAAACACCUGUCUGAAUGACUGACUGACUGACUAGUUAGUUAAUUAAUUGCAUUAGUCAAUUAACUGAUAAAAUAUUUAUAAAAUUGAAAAAGAGCUCUCCCUUGCUAGAUCCGGGCAACUUAUUAUUACUGCUUUGGGGUUAAUCAAAAUUAUGGAAAAUCCUUUUUAUAAAACACUUCUGCAGCAGAUUCUAAUUUGCUUUUCCUGUUUGGGCAACAAGGUACCAAUAACAGAACUGCUAAAUUGCUCCCUGGUGUUAAUGUCUCAAUGGCCUUUUCACCUGCAGAUCUAUCAUGUUAUUCUUUAUAAAAUAAUGUACUACACUGUCCUCUUUCCUUUUUCAGACAUGCUAAAUUGUUUUGUGUCAUUGCAGGCAUAUUUCAUGAUUACAUUAUCAAACUGUUGAUGCCUUUGGAGGAAUCCCAAAGCCAUGAAAAAGCACACAGCGAUGCUCCUUUCCUCUCCUUUUUUUUAACUGGUUAUGUCAAGCGGUUAAUACUGCUGUUAUUCAGAUAGCAUAAAAGCACAUAUUGUGUGAAGCACAUAUUGCAUAUGAUUGAAAAGUGUAACGUUUUUAUCUUGGUUUGCAAACUAUCAGGAGAGAAUAUUAAUAAAUGGGCAGUCACAUAUAGGUCUUUUAGAAAACAACAAGGAUGAAAAAGGCUGAGUCUCUCUCUCUCUCUCUGCUUGAAGCUAAACAAAAAGAAUGGGUCCAGCAUUUCACUAGAGCCUACUUGGAGCCAUGCCAGAUUAAUACUGGAAAACUGAGUUUGCUAUGCAGUAAAUCUUUUAGGGGAAAUUUAUAGGGUCUUAUUUCAUUCUUCUGGGAUUUCAAUUGGCACAUAUCAGCUUGUCAGCAGAAAAGGAGUUUGGGUUACCUGUGUGAUUACCCCACCUUACCCCAGAAAUCACAACUGUAAGAUAGAAAACCAAACAAAAAGCAAAUGCCUAACUUCUUUAUAUCAAAGUUUGGCAUGAAGAAAAGAAAAGAAAAACCUUGGGCAGGGCAAAAAAGCAAGCUGUGGCAAUUUCAGACAGGAAGAUGACCUCAUACCAAGAAAGCUUUUCUGACAGGAAGAGAGAAAAGAGAAUGGAAUUCCAGGUGCUGGGAGAGUAGUUCUUUCAGACCCAACAAACCUCAUAAACAUUCUUUUUUGAGAGCACUAUAAAUAUGAGAAAUAUGGUGUGUCAUCGUCCCCCCCCCCAAAAAACCCCCCCCAACAACUCCAGAGAGCAUUAACGUUAACAAUGAACAAUACCUUAAUGGUCCAAAGCAGAAUCCUACUAGAACAAUAAAAUCCUGUAACACCCUAAUUUAAAUGAAGCCUUCUGAGGAAUGGCUGAGGAAACUGGGUAUGAGUCUGGGAAAGAGGAGGCUGAGAGGAGACAUGAUUGCCAUCUUCACAUGGAAGAGGGAACAAGCUUGUUUUCUCCUGCUCUGAAGGGUAGGGCCCAAACCAAUGGCUUCAAGUUACAAGAAAGGGGAUUCCAACGAAACAUCAGGAAGAAGCUGUUUGGCAGUGGAAUGGACUCCCAUGAGAGGUUCUUCAUUGGGGGUUCUUCAGCAGAGGUUGAAUGGUCAUCUGUCAUGGAUGUCUUCAUUGAGAUUCCUGCACCCCAGGACAUUGGGCCCUUGGAGUCCUUUCCAACUGUAUCAUUCUAUGAAAUUGUGUUAUUCUCAAAGGCCUGAUACUAAGUCGGAGGGGAGAAAGCCAAUAAGACAGGAAAAAAUAUCAAUUCCUCCCCCCCCCCCCCCGAGUCUUGAAUUAUUCCCUAGAACCAAUAGUUUGGCAUUUUACAGGCUACAGCAAUUAGGGCAAUUCUUAUUUGUGAUGAGCAACUUGAUCAUGAAGGAGAAAAGCUCUGCCAGAAGCAUGGGGGGGGGGGGCGUCUAAAUGAUAAAUCUCUGCAGCAGGCCAUCUCUUUAAACUUGAAGAAGGGCAUUUUAGUGACAUGUCAUUGGAGCUUGCAUGAAUGUUGCAUGCAGAACACAGAGUUAAUAAAAUAUACAACACCUGCUUUGGGUGAGGCUUGGUAUUCUUAGUUCUGAACCAUUCCAAAAAGGCUGCCAAGUGACCAGGUGUUCUGUAAGUGCUGCAAAAUUGGUAAAAUUAUAGCCUCUCUAUUUUAGCAAAAUAAAAUAUCCUAGGUACAUUUGGAGUGGAGCACUUAUGAAUCUCAUCUAGGUGAGUGAGUAGACCCAUUAAAAGCAGUAGACUUCAUUUGCUCAUGUGCAUUGAUUUCAAUGGGUCUUCUAUGAGUAUGAGUUAGUUUGAAACAGCCUACUGUUUAAGAUUACAUUGUUGAGGGGAUCCACUUAAGGUAUUUCUUCUCUCCAGGGUCAACUUCCCUCCAAUUAGUUCCAUGACCAAUUCUUCUAGGUUCCAGGUGUUAGACAGAUAGAUAGAUUUUUCCUUUUAGUAUUUAGCAUGUGCACUUGCCCAAACCAUGUGAAUUCAACUGAUGUCAUUCAUGAGCGCAGCAUUGUAUCAUUUGAAUACCUCCCUGAUUUCAUUUUCCAUCUAAAGAAAACCCUGAGCAUUUGAAGAGCAAUAAUAUCUAUUCAGUAUUAAAAUGCCUACAGGGGCAUUUGGUGAUGGAAUUUGUUACCACAAGAUACAGUGAUGGCCCAUAAAUUAAAAGAGAAUUCAAAUUAAUUGCUACUAAACCUGAUGGCUAUAUGUAACCUCCAGGAUGUGUGGCAACAGGAGAUGGCCACUGCCAGUGUGGUGCAGUGGUUAAAGCAUUAGACUAAAACCUGGGAGAUCAGGGUUCAAAUCUCCACUGAGUGACCUUGGGCCAGUCACAGUCUCUCAACCUAACCUACAUUAUAGAUUGUUGUGGUCAAAUGAGUAGACAAGGAACCAUGUAUGCUACCUUGAGAUCAUUAGAGGAAAAAGUUGGGAUAUAAAUGCAUUUUAAAAAAAUAAAAUAAAAUGUAUUGCUUGUGAGCUUUUCCAGAGACUACUGGCUGGUUCCUCUGAGAAACACAAUGGUGGGCCUAAUAGGCCUUUAGUGCACUCUUUUAUACUUUUAUUCUUAUCCUCUGAAAUAUAUUUUCUUUAGCAAUAUCCUUCUUGGUGGCUUCAAGAGAGCAGGAAAGGAGAGGUGUGACCUUGCUCCUGCUUCUUGAUCUCUCGUUGACUUUUGGUACCAUUGACCAUGGUAUCCUCCUGGACUGGCUCUGGGGAGUGGGAAUUGCAUUGCAGUGGUAUCAAUCCUACCUUCACGACUGAGUCCAGAGAGUAGCAUUUGGAGAGUGCCUUUUGGCCCCCUUGUAGCCAUGCUAUGGGGCUAUCUUAUCUCCAGUACUCUUUCAUAUCAGAAUGAAGCUAUUGGGAGUGGUCAAUAGGACUUUGGGGGGGGGUGAAGUGCCAUCAGUAUGCUGAUGACACUCAGUGAUAUUUCUCCUUAACGCCUGAAUCAGGAGAGGCUGUGCAGUCAUUGGGCCAUUGCCUGGAAUGAGGAAAUGGAAGAGGAAGAACAAGUUGAACCUGAAUCCUGGCAAGACAGAGGCACUGUGGAUGAGUAGCCUCCAUGUCUGAGAAAUUGGUCAAUUGCCUUCCCUAGAUGGCGUUGUGCUCCUCCUGAAAUACUCUUAGUAAAUAAAUAAGUGAUCUGACAUUUCUGAUUUGAAGCACUAAUCAAAUCAACCAUGAACAAGUAUUCCAAAGGCAGAACGCUUUUACUGGCUUACCUCUUCUUCUUUUUUAAAAAAGGAACUCUCCUUAAUCGAGUCUGUCUUCCCCUAUCUAACCUGAUUGAUUAUAUGCAUUUUUCUUAUCACUGGCUUGUGUAUGAACACUGGGCUGAAUUGUGGCUACAUUUAAUGAGGCAGAAAUGCCUCUCAUAAUAUAUCAACUUACACCUUUUGGCUGCUCUUAUUUUAUGCAAAGCUCUCUCCUCUGCCCUAGCACAGUGACUGAUCUUGCUGUGACAAAACAGUAUCAGAUGUUGGAGUCAGCAUUUCUUUUAUUUCAUUGGGGGCAGAUGUCUGCAUUUCAAAAAAACAAAAAAAUCUAGUGCCACAAAUUUUAAACCAUUACCGGUAUAUUACAGCCAUCUGAGUUCCAAAAGGUAUUAAAAAAAAAAAAAAAGUUCACCAUUGCUAGUGUCGUUGCAGGAUCUGGGACUGGGCUUCGGUCAAUAUGGUGUAUAGAUGAAAUAACCAAUAUAGUGCUUUCCAAAUAUUGUUGAAUUACAAUUCCCAUUAUCUUUGACCAUUAGCCAUGCCUAAGCCAUGGAUGAGGCAAGGUGAGGUCCCCACCUUGAAAAGCAGAAGCCCAAGAACCAGCAUCUGCCUCAUAUGUGCAGUUCAUUCCCAGUGGCCUUCAUCCAUGAAAUCAGUUGCCUGGACUGAAAGUCCCGCCUUCCCACCACCCUCUAAGUCCCCUCCUCUCCAAGGCUUUCCCCAAGCAAUUGGAGGCUGUGCCUGCAUGCAGCCUGUCACUGCUCCGCCUGUUUCAGCCCUCUUCUGGUUCUGGGAGAUGUCAGGAGGAGCUUGUCACAGCAGAAGGGGGAGAGAUCUGUGGCUGUUCACCAGUCUGACUCAUCUCUGCCUCUUUACCUCUCUUCCCUGCUUCAUCUUCUGCUCCUGAUUCUUGACUUUUCUCUGCCAUAGACUCUCCCAGCUCACUAAGCCCUGUUACCCCUUCAGCUUACAACACCUCCUCUUCUCCCUCUGACCACUCUUUAUUUUCCCACCACCAAUCCCUGGGCUCUGAGCCUUCUUCUCUUAGUGAUUCACCAACUGGUUCCUCCCACCAUUCCUCUGUGUCCAACCAGUCCCUGAUACUUGGCUGGAAUGUGUCCUUGGACUCUGAUAAUACUUCUUGUUCACCUGGGUGGACGAUAGAGAGGGAUGUGUGUGUGUGUGAAGAAACUAGCCUCCUAAACAAAUGUAAAGUUUACAUUAAGAAUGAUAGAAUUGUACAGUCUGAAAGAAACCAGAUGGUCAUCUAGUCCAAGCCCCUGCAUUGCUGUGCCUAGUUUUGCCUCUGGCUCUGUCCAUUACUGCUAUGUGGCCCUUGGAAAAGAAUGUGGUCAUUGAGCUGAAAGAAGUUUGACAUUCCUGCAACAGAGUUCCAGCUUCCCAGUGUAAUCAUGAAACCAGGCUCCCCCCUGGAAUUGGUUGACUUUUAGCAGCCUCCAACAUUAUAGAUCCUUCUCCAUCUAGGACAAGGUCACUUCAGACAUCUGUGUCAGUGAACCUUUAACGUGGAACACAACUUAGAACAUCACACUCCAGGUUGAUUCAGAAGCUUAUCAGUACAUUCAUCUUUGGCUUUAAAAGACAAUCUUCUGCCCUCUAAUAAUAAAUUUAAUUUUCUUUGUUUCUACAAGAGAUGUCAUCUCUGGGGGGAGGAAACCCCUAAAGUUAAUAGAAAAACUGUCUGUCAACUAGUACAGAAAUCUCAGCUGAGCUGCAGGAGAGCAGAUAUUUAAGGCGGCAUAUUCCCUCUCCUCCACCUCAUACAGUAAAAAGUGGAAAGAGAAAGAGAGAACUUUUAUGGCAUCAAAUUUCUAUGAGGUUCAGUUUUCAGUGGGAGAAAAAAUGCCAUUGAGGUCACAGGAAACAUUACACAAAUUCACUACCUUCAGAAAUGGAAAAAAUGGAAAUGUGGCCAUACAUCUUAAUAUAAUGAUUGACAAAGCAAGCAGUAAGAAAAACUAACUUAAGAACAUAAGAAGAGCCUGCUGGAUGAUACCAGUGGCCCAUCUAGUCCAGCAUCCUGUUCUCACAGUAAGCAAACAAAUGCCUAUGGGAAACCUACAAGCAAGACCCCAGCAGAAGAGUGCUCUCACCUCCUGUGGUUUCCAGCAACUGGUAUUCAGAAGCGUUGCUGCCUCCAACUGUGGAGGCAGAGCUUAGUCACUGAGCUAUUGAUAGUCCUCUCCUCCAUGAAGAAGAUAGGAGAGUGGGACAGGUUCAUUUUGUUAUCAAGAACUAGUGUAACUGGGACCUCAAGAAGCACCAGCUUCACAAUAACUUUCCUGGAGGCACUUGAUAUGUUGAGAUGGAACAAUGCACUGCUCUUCGCAUUAUAUUAUGCAAAUAAGUAUAAGGACAUAGAAGGUAGCACUGCAUUCCAAGCAAACCAAAACAAACCUAACAUGACUUCUAUGUAUUGUACUUUUUUCUGUAGAUGGUGGUGGCUCAAAACUAUGCAGUGCUGCCUGUGAGGGGUGUCCUCUGAGCCAGAGAAGUGAUGCAGACUUACAUCCUUUGGCCUGGAGAGACUGGUAAUGAGAGUCACCAGCUCCACAGAUUAUGCGUUCUCUUUUUCGCUGUACUCCAUGUAUUAUAUUACAAUUACAGGAAAUGUUUCUAAAUGUGCAG
Molecule: non-coding RNA, 12205 nt
Organism: Podarcis lilfordi (Lilford's wall lizard)
Lineage: Eukaryota; Metazoa; Chordata; Lepidosauria; Squamata; Lacertidae
Source: the annotation of a GenBank genome assembly